This is a long non-coding RNA of Cairina moschata (Muscovy duck), 1614 nucleotides long. Lineage: Eukaryota; Metazoa; Chordata; Aves; Anseriformes; Anatidae. The record is from Ensembl.
GGCAGAAUAGAAAUUUCAUUCUUAUAAAAGUUUAUCAAAAGUCAGUUGUGUUUUUUUACUUUGUGACUCAAUGAAUUGAUACUGAUGUGGAUGUGUCAGUCUUCAUGACCACCGAGCAUCACUAUUGCUAAAACAGCACCAGAUAAAAUGAAAUAGUGUGUAGCAUAUAUAUAAAUAAAUAAAAAACAGAUUAACCAAAAAGAACUUUCUCUUUUCCAUCUCAGUAUCACACAAUUUUAAGGCCCAAUGAAGUUUUCUUGCCAAUCUAAAAGGCUUCCAACCGAUGACAAAUGCUUUUGAACAGUAAAUUUAAAGUGCAUGGAAACCAUAGAACAGGAAGCCAGGAACCAGAGAACACAGCACACAGCUCCUGAGCUGUUCCUUGGAUCUCUGACUUUGGGCAGUUCUAGCAAGCAGCCGUCCUGAUGGCCACUGCCUGAGCCCAGAGUGAUGGAUGGAGAGUGAGGCAGACACCAGCAUCCCUGCUGACAAGUAUUUGUUCCAGUCUGCAGCUCCCGUAGCUUGCAAGAACUUUGUUUCAAAGACGUCCGCUAUUGAUCACUGUCAAGACGAAGACAGGAGCCGGCUGGACCUUUAUCUGACCCAGCACAGUCAUCCUUGUGUUUGGGCAUCAUACAGCUCAAGCCUUGGACAUUAGCCCCGGUACAGCCAAGUAACAGCUGCUGCAUUUUGCCCUGUCUUCGGGAUCAAGCUCACUCUUUCCUAGAGUGCUUCAGGACAAUAUGGUUUAAACUGCUCCCAACACACUCACUGACUUCAGCUGAAAGGAAGGGUAUUUGACUAUCUCAAAGGAUGCCCAUGACUCCUCCUAGCUCAAAGCUAAGGGAGACUGGCUUCUAUGUUUUAUAGGAUUUGUUUCUCUGCUCCUGCCAUGUCAAGGAAGCUGUAGGAUCAACAUCUCAUCCUGUCAGCUCCAUCUCUGGUAAAGAUCUUACAUUAAUUUAGUGUAGAGGUGACACUGGUGAAUAAGAGAAUAAAAUGAGACUUUGAAUCCUUCUUUCCGGAAGGCUAAUGGUAAAAAAUUGGUAGCAAUGCAACUAUGGCACCUUUCCAACUCUAACACUUAGAGCAUUGCCUACGACCAUGUCCCCAGACAUACUUUGUCAUUCACGAUGGCUCAGUACGAAAGAUAAAUAAAACAGAAGUUGCCAGCAAUACUGGCACUCAGCUGCUUUGACUUUUUUCCUUCCCUGCCAACAAAACAAAUAGUGAAAUAGUAGAACUGCAAUUCAGGUGAUAACACCCAUGAUUUAGAAAUUUAGUGGAGGCUGGUGGUGUGAUGAGCUUCCUCAAGAAGAUAACUCAAUGAAAGAGUGCAAGUAGUAACAAGAUGGAGAAUACAUUGAGUGAAAUUAAUAUAAUUAUAUGCUGUGUUUUUGUUUGUUUUUGUCAUCUAACUGAAAAAUAAAGGUAUCCAGGGAAAAAAGAAAUAAGUAUUAAUGUGAUGAAGUAAAAAGUAAAAUGCUAAAAUCUGCACAAGUCUUGCUGCUAUUGCUGCAUAAGAGUAAAUAAUUUCUGAAAAUGAUAUCCAGAUACACAGUGGAAAUAUUUCCCUUUUGAAAUAAAAUGUGCAUCUUGAAGAAAAAAAUCUGC